AUCGAGGUCGGGGGGUGUUGGUAGUAGCAGGGGUGGCGAUGGAGUGAUUGAUGUUGAUGAGGAUGAGAGUGAAGAAGAUGGAGUUGUUGGCCUCGAAAACGGGGAUGUCGAAGAUGAUGAUGAUUUAGAGGACGUUGAUGUUGAGGAGAGUGGUGACGAUGAGGUUGUGGAGGUUCAUGAGAUUGAUGAUAGUGACGAGGAAGAAGGGGUCGAAGAGGAUGAUGAUGAGGAGGAUGAUGAUGGUGAUGAAGAAGUGGAAGAUGAAGAGGAGGAUGUGAGGCCCGGGAUUGAAGGCCGGGGAAUCGGUAAUGGUG
RNAcentral lists this long non-coding RNA (314 nucleotides) under Vitis vinifera (wine grape). Its description in RNAcentral is "long non-coding RNA (VVIN_LNC000698)". The record is from RNAcentral. Lineage: Eukaryota; Viridiplantae; Streptophyta; Magnoliopsida; Vitales; Vitaceae.